Epinephelus fuscoguttatus (brown-marbled grouper) is the source of this 3958-nucleotide long non-coding RNA. RefSeq lists it as uncharacterized. NCBI's taxonomy places the organism in Eukaryota, Metazoa, Chordata, Actinopteri, Perciformes, Serranidae. The record is from RefSeq and is a predicted model, not a curated record. The transcript is spliced from 3 exons.
AGAAACUCUAUGAUUCAUGGCUUGUAAAACACUGCAUGUGUUCAUUUUUAUAACAAAACUCUACAGUGAUCUUUAUCAGCAAAUACAGCUGAUGUGCUCUCAAAAACAUAUCUUGCAGGAAAUUACUUUAUGAUGGAUUUUUAGCGCUUAAAUUAUUCCUCUGUUAGCUGAUUAGUCAAUCACUGCAAACUGAUUCCAAUGUACUCAAGUAAAUAGAGCUUUUGUUAUAAUUAUAGUGUAGAUAAAUGGUUGUUUAAACAAAAGACAAUCAAUUAAAGUAGCUCCAAUCAAUAUUUUAAGAUUAACAAUUGGUCAAUUGACUGCAUGUACAACCCUGAUUCUACAAAAAUAGUUAGGACAUUGUGUAAAACAUAAAUAAAACCAGAAUGCAAUGAUUUGCAAAUCCCUUUGACCUAUAUUUAAUUGAACACAGUCCAAGGACCAGAUUUUUAAUGUUCAAACUGAUAAAUCUUAUUGUUUUUUUUGUAAACAUACACUCAUUCUAAAUUUGAUGCCUGCCACACAUUCUAAAAAAGUUGAAACAGAGACAUGUUUACCACUGUGUGACAUCGCCUUUUCUUUUAACAACACUCAAUAAGUGGGAACUGAGGACACAAACUGUUGAAGUUUUGAAAGUGAAAUUCUUUACCAUUUUCAGCUUCAGUUGCUACACAGUCUGGCGUCUCUGUUGUCAUAUUUUGUGCUGUUGGAAUACGUGCAGAAUGUGUCUCAUUGUCUCACUGGAAUAAGCAGGAAUGUCCCUGAAAAAGACAUCAUCUGGAUGGCAGCAUAUGCUGCUCCAAAACCUGUAUGUACCUUUCAGCAUUCAUGGUGCCUUCACAGAUGUGCAAGUUCGCCAUGAUGCCAUGGGCACUAACCAGAGUUGGGUAUAACGUGUUACAAAGUAAUGCGUUAGAGUACUUUGAUUACUUUUUGCAGUAACGAGUAACCUAAUGUGUUAGUUUGCUGUUUGAGUAAUCAGAUACUUGAGUACAUUUUCAAACAAGCCAUCAGUUACUUCCAUUACUUUUAGAACACUGGUCUUUUGGUUCUAAUAACGGAGAUAAUGUUAAACCUAUCCGUCUGAAAGAAGUCAUGAAGCUUGUGGCUAGCUACGUGGUAGAAGAAAUGCUGCCAUUGUCUACAGUGGAGUCUCCGCAGGACCGUCAAUAAAAUCCCCACAGCUCAAUAGAUGGAGGAGGACUCGCUGACUCAGGUCAGACUCAGAAGGACUUGCAUUAUGCCUGGUACACACACUACACGACUUUUCUGCCCGUUCUGAAAGUCACUAUGUCACAUUACACGAUUGUGGAGUCAUAAAAUCGUGCCGUGACUUGGCUGACAGAUAUUACACACUACACGAUGGUACUCACCAAUUAUCCCCGGUUGUCUUUCAUGUCAUUGGGUUAUUUUUGUCCUAUUUUUAUUACUUUUACUAUUAUUUGAGUCAUUGUGUCUGUUCAUGUGCCAGCGGAAAUGUUGUUGUAGUCACCUAAAAGCGUCAGCAGAUGGCAGGAGCUACAUUUGAAGCACCGUAUGCAAAUAUUCAAGCUACUGUAUCCUCCACAACAAGUUCCUACAAAUGUUUCACAAUAAAAGCCUAUUUAGAAAAUGGAGGGAUUCUCUCAGCCGAAGUUAUAAGGGGCUUUUAAUUUGAAACAAAUUCAGGAAGUGUUGAGUUUGAAAUGACGGUGCAAUGUGUUAAUUUUAUAAAGACAACGGGAAUGGAUAAAAAGUAAAUAUAUAAAAACACAGAGGGAUUAAUAAAUAACGGACCUUCUAUAAUCAGCUUGACAAACAAAUCCUCCGCACACUGACAUAGAUUUUACUAUACUUUAUUUGAGCGUUGUUCCAGCGUUGUCAAGUAUAGUAAAGUCUAUGUCAGCGUGCGGAGGAUUUGUUUGUCAAGCUGAUUACACACGUUCCUGCUGCCUACCAGCACCUGACUACCUGUGGCUGUGCAAGGAGAUUUCAUUGAUUCCAGGACCUUCCAUAACGUAGACUGUUUAAAAUGAAGCUGGUAGCCUCUGCAGUUGUGGUGAAUAAAAGCUCCGCAAAUAUUUGUUAAUGUUAUUACUUUAUAUCCGAUUGUGAGGAUUUAACAUUGUUUGCUAGCUUGAUGCUAAUAACAGUACUCAGUGGGUUGACAAAGUGCCUCUGCUGUUUUCACGCUAUCAUUUUCCCCUUUUACUGCUUUUACUGUCGUGGUAACAUCCCUCAAGGAAAUAUUAAAAAGGCUGGGGUGUUGUUGUCAGUUGUCUACGGCAGCAGAUCACUCUGUGUUUCUACUGGUCAAAGUGAUGGCUGUGAUGGGAGAAUUGGAUCUCAGUGAAGGGCAAGUGGUCCAUAACUUUAAUUUUGGAGACAAAAAAAUGUAGGCUAAGCACCCUGUGGUCCAUUGCCCAAUAGGAAAUGUAGAAUACUCAAAAGUACUUUAAAAAUACUUGAGUUACUUUUCUCAGGGAGUAACGUUGGAAGUACUUUAAAAGUACUUGAGUCACUUUUUUCAGGGAGUAACUUUGUAAAGUAACUGGUAGGGCUGUAGUCAACCAAAGAAAAUCUUGGUCCACUGAAGUCCACUGAAAAAAAAAUCUGCACGUUAUUUUCACUUCUGCGGUGGUGUGUCUGUACCACUCUGCAAUUACACCUCCAAAACAAUAGUCGGCGGUGGAAGACUGUGUUAAGUGCUGUAAAGUUUAGUUCAAAUCAAACUUUAUUUAUAUAGUUGAUUCAAAACACACAUUAAAUAUAGCUUAAAGCUAUAGUUGGUAAUGUUGGAGAGCUAGCAAGAAUUGAAAGUGGCACCUCCUCUAAGCUCCGCCCCUUCCUCCCCCUCCCGUCAGUGCUCCGUCCAAAGGCCACGGCCCCACAAACUUGAACGCGCAUCCUGCAGUCGGAGUCAGCUGCAGGGCACAGGACAGCCGAGUAUUUCAGCACAUUUUGGACAUCAACCAAACUACCUCUUGUCUCAGUCACCUAGCUUCCAUGAUGAGAGCACUGGCUCUGAUCCUACUUACAGUCCACAGCCAAGCACGUCUUCAGGUCAAAGAGGACAGGUCUGAGGUCGUGCUCAAGCAAGAGGAGGCUGUGCUAGAGGGGGUGCACUGGGUAGAAGCCGAGGAAGUCGAGGUAGAGGACGGGGAGCAAGCCGGACUGUGACCGGAGAACAACUUUGACAUGAGGAUAUUCUGCGAGUGGAGAAUCUGCAAGCUCAAAGAAUUGCAGAUGAGCAGGCUAGAAUUCAAACACUGAGCUUGGAAGAAUCCCAUCAGUUGCUGCAGAUCUGCCUGACAAGGGACCCAAGCCUCAUGUUUGAUCUCCUCCACAUGUUAACAUCAGGAAAUGCUCCUCCACCAGGCCCUCCAGCUCCGGGUCAACCCACUUGGUGUGUGUGCCGAAACUGCCAUGAGAUGCCCACGGAUGUAGAAAGAAAGUGCUGUGGGCAACAGCACGACUCCUGCAUUUCCAUGCUGCCUCACAUGGAAGUGUACAUUUUGCAGGAGGGGGUCUUGAGACUUGCCAGAAGGAUCUGGAAUGAUGUCCGGGCUGUGGAGGAUCUUCCAGACCCAGGGGAGAGCAAUAAAAAAUUCUGCUAUGCAGCAUACCGGCAAUAUGUUGUGUGGCAAUAUGGGGCACUGGGAGCUGGGCACAGAGUAGUAAUAUCUAGUUGCUGUGUUUGGAAAAUUAGAAACUGCUACCCAGAUCCACAUUGAUAGUAUACAGGUUUCAUCCCUAGUAGGGUGUAAGCACAGUGCAAUAAAUAGCAUUCACUCUUGGGCCCUGCUGUUUAUUCUGUGUACUGCUUUACAUAUUGUUCCUGUAAAAUUUGCACUGAGGUGUACAGUCUGUACAGUUCAAAUUUCUGUUUAUUUAUAUUUUGUCACGUUGGAAUAAAAAUUUGAAAAUGAUAAAUGACUUUCCUUUACCAUUUCAGCAUAAACAAGCUAUUACAUUUCUU